UUGUGCUCCAGAAAACCUCCACGCUCAUUCCAAUAAAAGGGCGUCCUGGGAUUCAUGUGUACAGUGUCCCCAGCUGAGCAUCUGAUUGUUAUCUUUUGGGGGAAAUGAGACCCGCAGAAUGAGAGAGAGGAGGAGAAAGGAAGACAAAGUGCUGUGGGGCUCGUUUGGUCCCGGUGGUUUUCACCUCCAGUGGCUGCUUUAUAUCACCUGGCGUCACGUCAAGAAGUCGCCAGCGAGCAAGGAGUCCAUCCCACAGGUUCAACACAGAAG
Long non-coding RNA from Betta splendens (Siamese fighting fish), 270 nucleotides. RefSeq lists it as uncharacterized. The transcript is spliced from 3 exons. The record is from RefSeq and is a predicted model, not a curated record. Lineage: Eukaryota; Metazoa; Chordata; Actinopteri; Anabantiformes; Osphronemidae.